RNAcentral lists this ribosomal RNA (525 nucleotides) under Escherichia coli. RNAcentral describes it as "partial 23S ribosomal RNA". It matches the Rfam family "Bacterial large subunit ribosomal RNA", at positions 668 to 1191 of the family's 2925-position model. The record is from RNAcentral. Lineage: Bacteria; Pseudomonadati; Pseudomonadota; Gammaproteobacteria; Enterobacterales; Enterobacteriaceae.
GAAGGGAAACCGAGUCUUAACUGGGCGUUAAGUUGCAGGGUAUAGACCCGAAACCCGGUGAUCUAGCCAUGGGCAGGUUGAAGGUUGGGUAACACUAACUGGAGGACCGAACCGACUAAUGUUGAAAAAUUAGCGGAUGACUUGUGGCUGGGGGUGAAAGGCCAAUCAAACCGGGAGAUAGCUGGUUCUCCCCGAAAGCUAUUUAGGUAGCGCCUCGUGAAUUCAUCUCCGGGGGUAGAGCACUGUUUCGGCAAGGGGGUCAUCCCGACUUACCAACCCGAUGCAAACUGCGAAUACCGGAGAAUGUUAUCACGGGAGACACACGGCGGGUGCUAACGUCCGUCGUGAAGAGGGAAACAACCCAGACCGCCAGCUAAGGUCCCAAAGUCAUGGUUAAGUGGGAAACGAUGUGGGAAGGCCCAGACAGCCAGGAUGUUGGCUUAGAAGCAGCCAUCAUUUAAAGAAAGCGUAAUAGCUCACUGGUCGAGUCGGCCUGCGCGGAAGAUGUAACGGGGCUAAACCAUG